CCUACGGGAGGCAGCAGUGAGGAAUAUUGGUCAAUGGGGGGAACCCUGAUGCAGCGACGCCGCGUGGGUGAAGGAGCGUUUCGGCGCGUAAAGCCCUAUCGGCAGGGAAGAAGAAGGACGGUACCUGACUAAGAAGCCCCGGCUAACUACGUGCCAGCAGCCGCGGUAACACGGAGGGGGCAAGCGUUAUCCGGAUUUACUGGGUGUAAAGGGGGCGCAGACGGCAGGGAAAGCCAGGAGGGAAAGCCCGGGGCCCAACCCCGGGACUGCUCUUGGAACAGCGCGGCUGGAGUGCAGGAGGGGCAGGCGGAAUUCCGGGUGUAGCGGUGAAAUGCGUAGAUAGCAGGAGGAACACCGGUGGCGAAGGCGGCCUGCUGGACUGCGACUGACGUUGAGGCCCGAAAGCGUGGGGAGCAAACAGGAUUAGAUACCCUUGUAGUC
RNAcentral lists this ribosomal RNA (441 nucleotides) under uncultured bacterium. RNAcentral's name for it is "partial 16S ribosomal RNA". It matches the Rfam family "Bacterial small subunit ribosomal RNA", at positions 338 to 795 of the family's 1533-position model. The record is from RNAcentral.